GGAGAAGCAAUCUGAAUCCAGUGAAAUUGGAAUUGUUGAAAAAGAAACAUUCACUGCCACAUAACUAUUUGCAUAUAGCUUCACAUACUCUUUCAAUUUAUUUCUCUCACUUGCUACCCAGUGAAGGAAUCAGGAGGAUCAGAGAGGAAGAGGAAUAUGCACAAAGGCCAUAACUCUAAGUGGCAGCAUCAGGGUUUGAGCCUGGUCCAAAUUAAACUUCAUCUCCAUUUCCCAUAGGAAGAAACUGAGGACAGGAGGGGCCAAACAAGUUACAGUUUCAUCCCUCCAGAGAGCCAACAGAGUAUUUUGCACGAAGUUGAAGCUAAACAGGUAUUAUGUCCUAUCUCUGGACUGAAUGACUAGAUGCUACUCAGCUUCUGAACUAGAGGAAGCCUGGGACCUUGACCGCACUAAUGCUGAUGACAGCGGAUUUGCAAGUGGCUAGAGGUACCAGAUUUAGCAAAUCAAAAUAUAGGACGUCAAGUUAAAUUUAAGUGUAAGAUAAGCUACGAAUACCUUUUCUAGUAUUAGUACGUCCCAUGCAAUAUACUAGAAAUGUUAUUCGUUAUUUAUGUUAAAUUUAAUUUUAUUAGGGCAUCCUAUAUUUUACCUGUCAAUCCAACCCAUGACCUAGGCAGACACUGUAGAAAAACAAAAGGAGAAUUAAGGAGAUAAAUGAAACACAGGGUGAGCUGAAAAGAGGUGCUCUGUGAAUUUGAGGGUCCAGUAGGAGCUGACUUGUAGGUACUUGGUCUGUUUUGAUGCCCACAACAACCUUGGGGAAGGGGCGGAAUAGCAGAGGGGUAAGCUCUCUGCCCCCCACCAGGGUUCUGCAGGACGCCAGGGCUUUUAUCAGCACCCCUAUGUUCACAUCCUGGCUGCACCCUCCUUGGUUGUAUAUACUCUGGAUAAUUCACUUAAUUUAAAUCUUGCUGCUUUUAUAAAAUUGAUAAAAAGUUAAUAGUGACACUGAUCACACUGAUGUCCCUCAAUGAAUUAUCAAUAUGUUUUUUCUUCCCACCUAUAUUCUUUAUUGAACUCUGUUAUUUUUGAUCCUGGUCUAGAGUAAGCAUUAUGACCAUGCAAGAGUGAAAUGAAAUUUUUAAAAAUAAUUUUUUAAUGUUUUCUGAAUGCUGGGUGUUUUCAAUGAUCAUGCAUGACUGGCAGCAAAGAGGAACGAGGAUGGAUUCGAUAAGGUGCAACAAGUCCUGAACACACACAGAGAACUGGCUGUGAAUCCUGUUUCUGCCACUCACCACUUACUUGUUGGGUAACCUUAGCCACUUCAUUUAUCCUCUCUGAUCUUCAGGCCUACCUCAUGUCCUCCCCAAAGAGAUGGUGGGUAAGAGAGAACUUUGCAAAAGGCUGCCAGAGCAUAAAUAGGUCUUAUGACUAUGUAGCAGAAAAAUGGGACCUCAAAGAGGAGAGAGACCUGCAAAGCGGGGGACUGCUGCCAUUCUUUGAGUGGUGGCUCAAAAUAUUUCCCCAAACUGUCCCCAUCUGGUCAGGAUGCCCCACAGCCUUUUACUAAGAUGGUGUCUUCAUCUAGCCUCAGCCCAGCUGCAGUACCUUUCUGGAACUCCCACCACUGAUGCUCAAGAGGAGAGUGUAAGUUCAAGAGGGUUAAGCUCUCUACCCACCCGCUCAUCCACAGUCCCUCAGACAAGCAUGCAGAUACAUGCUUUGUUUGGUUGGUUGGUUGGUUGGUCGGUCGGUUGGUUUUGUUUUGAGACAGGGUCUUGCUCUGUUGCUCAGCUGGAGUGCAGUGGCGCAGUCACAGCUCACUGCAGCCUCGAUCUCCCAGGCUCAAGUGGUCCUCCCACCUCAGUCUCCCAAGUAGCCAGGACUACAGGCACAUGCCACCACACCUGGCUAAUUUUUCAGUUUUUUGUAGAGAUGGGGUCUUACUAUGUUGCUCAGUCUGGUCUUUAACUCCUGGGCUCAAGCAAUCCUCCUACUUUGGCCUCCCAAAGUGCUGGGAUUACAGGGGUGAGCCACCGUACCCAGCCCAAGAAUGCUUUUAGAUUGUACUCUCUAAAAAUUAAUGUUUGUUCCUGGGAGUAAUGCAUGAGCUAAUAUAACAAGUCUAUUAAUCAAAUGAACUGACAUAAUUCCUGCUAACACAUGUAGGAAUAUUGAAAAGGAAAUUCAGCCAGGAAGCUCUAAAUCCACAACAAAGUGCAAGAUACUAUAUUAUCACAUUGAAAAACACAAUCCAGCCACCUGAAACAAGCAGUGUGACCCAAAAGCCAUUUUCCUAAAUUUGUUGAAGGGUUUCUCCAGCCCUGCACUGUCCAAUAUGAUAGCCACUGGCCACAUGUGGCUGUUUAGUUUUAAAUUUUAAUGAAUUAGAAUUAAAUAAAAUGUAAAACUUAAUCCUCAGCUACAUUAUCCACAUUUCAAGUGCUUAACAGACAUAUGUGGCAAGUGGCUACCAUAUUGGAUGCAUCCCUCUCCUCAGUACAAUCCCACAGGGUGAGUGUGGUCCUCAAACUCCUUCCCAAACUUCCAAGUCACCAAGUAAACACCACAGGCUUCUCUGAGAGAUGAGAAGAAAAAAAUAAGGAAAUCUUUCAUUUAGCCAAAAAGCCAUGUCUUGACAAGAAAAGAUCAAUAUAAAUAAAAUUACAGGGCAAUUAUUGGAGAAGUGAUCUCUUCCAUCAGCAUUUGGACCAUUUAAAGUAGAUACAAAAGGAUAUAGAAGACUAGUUUCCGAAACAGCCCCAUGCUUUAGGACCUGGAUCGGGACUUUCAAAAAUAUAUACUUUUUUUUUAACUUUUAUUUUAAGUUCAGGGAUACAAGUGCAGGUUUGUUACAAAGGUAAAUUUGUGUCUGGGGGGUUUGUUGUACAGAUUAUUUCAUUACCCAGGUAUUAAGCCUAGUACCCAUUAGUUAUUUUUCCUGAUCUCCUCCCUCCUCCAACCUUCCACUCUCUGAAAGGCCCCAAUGUCUGCUGUUCCCCUCUAUGUGUUCAUAUGUUCUUAUCAUUUAGCUCCCACUUAUUAGUUAGAACAUGCAGUAUUUGGUUUUUGUAUCCUUAGGAUACGAAAGGAUAAUGGCCUCCAGCUCCAUCCAUGUCCCUGCAAAGGACAUCAUCUUAUUCUUUUUUAGGGCUGCAUAGUAUUCCGUGGUGUAUAUACCUUUUAAUGUAGAUUACCUUGAUUAUGGGAACAAUGUUGUUACAGAUUUUAUCGUUUUUGAGAAAGUAUAAUGAAAAUUGUGUCUAACAAAGUAAUAAGAUUCCUUUCUGUCUAUAUAGUGAAAAUGCUCAGGAUGUUCACUGCAGCCUGCCUCACCCUGGAAAAGAGAUGUGAGGAUAAUGAGAAAGAAGAGUAUGUUCAGUGCGGAGCAUGCAAAUUUGCAUGAAAAGUAAAUGUAACUUUGUGCCUAACUACAACUGGCUCCCACAGAUAUUUUAGUUCUCAGUUUUAAUAACAAGUGUCCAGCACAGAAAAGCCUAGAACAUAAAAGGGCCCGAUACAAAUUUACUGAUUUAAGAAAAAAUAAUGUUUGUUUUCCUAAGAAAGAUAAAGCACCAGUAAGAAAUGAAUCAUACUUGCAAUGAGAUAGAUAGAUAGAUAGAUAGAUAGAUAGAUAGAUAGAUAGAUAGACAGAAAAAAAUAAGCUAAAUUUAAAGUCAAAAAUCCACUGUCAAUUGGAUAAGAAAUUGAUGUUUGAGUCUAAAAAGUAAAGCUGGUCUUUAUUUUGUCCAGAUUUUAUUUUAUUUUAUGUGUGAUAGGGUCUUGCUUGCUCUGUAGUCCAGACAGGAGUGCAGUGGUGCCACCAUGCCUCACUGCAGCCUGAACCACCUGGGUUCAAGUGAUCCUCCUGCCUCAACCUCCCAAGUAACUAGAACCACAAGCAUGUGCCACUAUGCCCAACUAAUUUUAAAAUUUUUUUUAUAGAGAUGUGGCCUCUCCAUGUUGCCCUGGGCUCAAGUGACCUUCCUGCUUCUGCCUCCCAAAGUUCUGGGACUACAGGCAUGAGCCACCUCACCUUGUCUGUCUUUCUCCUUAAUCCAUUUCAUGUUGUUUAUGCUUUUUUUUUUUUUCUCUGAGAUGGAGUCUCAGUCUGUCUCCCAGGCUGGAGCGCAGUGGCACAAUCUGGGCUCACUACAACCUCCGCCUCCCAGGUUCAAGUGAUUCUCCUACCUCAGCCUCCCAAGUAGCUGGGAUUACAGGCACGUGCCACCAUGCCCGGGUAAUUUUUGUAUUUUUAGUAGAGACAGGGUUUCACCAUGUUGGCCAGGCUGGUCUCGAACUCCUGACUUCAGGUGAUCCACCCUUCUUGGCCUCCCAAAGUGCUGGGAUUACAGGCAUGAACCACCACACCCAGCCUGUUUAUGCUUUUAACCAGUAUCUACACUGGUUACAGUUUCUUUACCAAGUGAACUGACUCAAACCUUCAUUCAUACCCAAAAAGUCUGAACCCUUCAUGAAUUAGCCUAGAAUGAUGUCAAUGUUUUAAAUAGCCUUUGCCACCAGGCAUGGCGGUAUAAGAAGUCAUGCCACCAGCUCUCUCACUUUCUAAUUCUAUUCCUCCAGGCCCCUAUCAUAAUGCACCUUGGUCAGGUGCCACUUUUUUGCAAUGAGAAGAAGUCUACUCAAGCUAGCUAGGCCUUCCUGGGAUGAGAGAAUCUUUACCACUCUGGACCAUGCCAAAACACUGAGGACAGUAGCCACAUUCUUUUGAGGCUCUAUUGCUUGCAAACCUACUUCCCAGAAUCCAUUUCUCUUCUAGACAUAGGUCAGUUGGUUGCAAAGAACAGAAAUUAUCUCAGGUAACUUAAGUGAAGGAGGGUUUAUUGUAAGAGAAUUGGCAGCCACCCCAGCCCCUAAAGUAGACUGUUGAAACAAUUUGUUGAGUCUGGAGCCCUUCCUGAAUUAACAAAAGGGAGGAUCCAUUAAAGGAUAACACAGCUUAUUUAUUAUUUCAAUAGCUUCCCAGGCAAAGCAGGAAAGAAACCAGACCUCUUUUCUGCACAAUAAUGGGGCCCACUAACUCUGGGGAAAAGGUAAGGUACCUUCUAAUUGAGGAAAUAUAUCCUUUUUCAAUAUGAGUCUAGAUUGUACUCUUUAAAAAUUAAUGUUUGUUCCUGGGAGCAGUGCAUGAGCUAAUAUAACAAUUCUAUUAAUCAAAUGAACUGACAUUGUUCCUCCUAACACAUGUAGAAAUAUUGAAAAGGAAAUUCAGCCAGGAAGAUCUAAAUCCACAACAAACUGCAAUCUUGGAGUCUCUUCUUCCUUCCCCACCCCCAACCCACUUCUAUACACACAAUUUUGCAAGACUUGGAUAAAAAUAGUCACCAUUUUUAUCUGGUUAAAGUCCUGGGGACCCUACCUCUAAUUGGCACACUCAGACCGAGACACUUUGGUAAGGUAAGAACGGUAAAUUUGGAGAGAGAGAAAGAGCCAAGAAGUGAGAUCCCUCCUUGUGGAUAGGUGUGGGGUUUUCCCAAGGAAAUUGAUGGAGUUUCUAAUAAAUAAAAUCUUAAAAGGAGGCCCAUGGAGAAGGAAAAGAUGUGCAUCUAAAGGCCAGAGAGCUUGUGAAGGAUCUGGACCUGCAGGUAACAUCGCUUUGAGAAGUAAAGAGAAACUCUAAGGAGUGUUUUAUUCUUUCCUCUUUGAUGUACAAUCACUCUUCAGAAAUUGCCUCUUUAGUGAAGAAACCUGCAUAGAACCACUUAGGCUGUUGGUAAUUUUGAAAAGACUGGAAAGAGAGAACUAUAGAGGAAAAGGGAAAGAAAGACUUGCCCCAACCAUCACCUCUGAUUUACUGGAGAGAGACAUCAAGCGGGUGAUAAUGUAACCACCCAAUGUGUUCACUGUGCCCGCUGCCUAGACACAGCUGAUUUAUCAAGACAGGGGAAUUGCAGUGGAGAAAGAGUAAUUCACACGGAGCCAGCUGUGCGGGAGACCAGAGUUUUAUUAUUAUUCAUAUCAGUCUCCGCAGGCAUUAGGGGAUCAGUUUUUAAGGACAAUUUGGCAGGUAUGGGCUCCAAAAGUGGGGAGUGCUAAUUGAUCAGGUUGAAGAUAAAAUCACAGGGGGUCAAAGUGAGUUCUUCUUGCUGACUUCUGGGUGGGAUCACAGAACUGGCUGAGCCAGAUUAUCAGUCUGGGUGGUGUCAUCUGCUGCUUCGGCAUGCGGGGUCUACAAAACGUCUCAGGCACUGAUCUUAGGUUAGCUAAUUUGUUAGUUCUACAAAGGCAGACUGGCCCCCUGGCAUGAAGGGGUUUUUUGGGAAGGACCGUUAUCCAUUUUGUUUCAGAGUUUAAACUAUACACUAAAUUCCUUCCCAAGGCUAGUUCAGCCUACACCCAGGAAUGAACAAAGACACUUUACAGGUUAAAAGAAAGAUGGGGUCACUUAGGUCCGAUCUCUUUCACUGACCUAAUUUCCUAAGUUAUGACUUUUGCAAAGGUGGUUUUAAUAACAUGGAGCUCCCGAUGGUGACAGGCCACACUGAGAGCAGGGAGAAAACAUCCAUGGUGAGGACAUAGCACUGCAGAGAUGACAAAUCUCAAGGGGCAAUAAGAUGCUCUUGCAUUUCCCUAUAAAUUAGAACAUGCUGCCCUCCAAAAGAGGAAUUGGGGAAGGCUGGACAUUCAAAGUGAUCAUUUAUCAUUUGGUUAAUAUUAGUUCUAACCCACAUAUAUGUACAAAUAUAUAUAAUUUAUAUAAGUCUAUAUAUAUGUAUGUAUAUAUAUUUAUAUAGAGACAGGCUCUCGCUAUGUUGCCCAGGCUGGUCUCAAACUCCUGGGCUUAAGCCAUCCUCCUGCCUCAGCUUCCCAAAGUGCUGGGAUUGCAGGUAUGAGCCACUGUGCUUCAAGUCCAAAGUUCCACACAUUCUGCUAUACUCACACCACACACCUUCUCAGCAUUUCCACAUCCUUUCUUGCUUCCACAUUCAGUUCUUCAUGAAUCUGGUGUCAAGCACAGCUCCUUUAUCAAUUUUCGUAAAGAAAUGUACUCUGAAGGUUUUGAGGAUUGGUCAUGGGAUAUGUAAUAUGAAUGUGUUGGGGCUCAGAAAAUGAUACCCCAAGUGAAGGCCUCAAAAGCAAAGUUUCUCUCUGGCCUUCUCCUGCCCCCAUCUCUCGCCCCUCAUUUUCCCCCAAGGAAAGCCAUAAAAACUAUAAUCUCAGCCCGGCGCGGUGGCUGACGCCUGUGAUCCCAGCACUUUGGGAGGCUGAGGUGGGCAGAUCACCUGAGGUCAGGAGUUCAAGACCAUCCUGGCCAACAUGUUGAAACCCCAUCUCUACUAAAAAUACAAAAAUUAGCCAGGUGUGGUGGCGCAUGCCUGUAAUCCCAGCUACUCGGGCAGCUGAGGCAGGAGAAUCACUUGAACCCAGGAGGCAGAAGUUGCAGUGAGCCGAGAUCAUGCCAUUGCACUCCAGCCUGGGUGACAGAGUAAGACUCUGUCUCAAAAAAAACCAAAAACCAAAAAACAAAAAAAAACAAACAACAACAACAACAAAAAAUAGCCAGGCGGGGUGGCUCACACUUAUAAUCCCAGCACUUUGGGAGGCCGAGGUAGGUGGAGCACCUGAGGUCAGGAGUUCAAGACAAGCCUGACCAACAUGCUAAAACCCUGUCUCUACUAAAAAUACAAAAUUCAACCAGGUGUGGCAGGCAUCUGUAAUCCCAGCUACUCAGGAGGCUGAGGCAGGAGAAUCCCUUGAACCCGGGAGGCGGAGGUUGUAGUGAGCUGAGAUCGCGCCACUGCACUCCAGCCUGGGAGACAGAGCAAGACUCCAUCUCAAAAAAUAAAACAAAACAAAAAAACCUAGAAUCCUUCCCCAAGGUGGGUUAUAGAAACCAGAACCCCUCUCCCCCAAAGCCAGCCAUAAAACCUAAAAGUAUUAUUCUAACCUUCCCCUGACUUGCUGUGUAAGAGCUGCACAUAAAGAAAUCCCCGGCUGGGCAUGGUGGCUCACGCCUGUAAUCCUAAUACUUUGGGAGGCCAAGGCAGGAGGAUCGCUUGAGCCCAGGAGUUCAAGACCAGCCUAGGCAACAUAGCCAGACCUCAUCUCUACAAAAAAUGUAAAAAAUUAGUUGGGUGUACUGGCAUGAACCUGUAGUUCCAGCUACUUGGGAGACUGAGGCAGGGAGGAUGGCCUGAGACUGGGAGGUCAAGGCUGCAGUGAGGCAUGAUCAUGCCACUACACUCCAGCCUAAGUGACGGAGUGAGAUCCUGUCUCUAAAGACAAAAGAAGAAAUAAAGUGAGAAAAAAGGGAAUUAUUUUUAAAAAGAAAGAAAUUUUCUGGCCUAUCUUGUUUAAUAGGAGUUUGUAAGACCCCCAUUCCAGAAAGGGUCCUGCCCCAUACCUGAGAGGAAGGAUUGUUGUACAAAGAGGCCAAGAAUCAUCUAAACAGUUGCAGUCUGUUCCCAUUAGGUCAUACCCUUUUUGUUCAAUCACAUUUCCACACAGCUGUCUAUUCUUUAUUGAACCCAAGCAUAAAAAAUGGAUAGCUUUAUUAGUCGGGCAUGGUGGUAUACACCAGUAGUCCCAGCUACUCAGGAGCUGACACAAGAAGAUCACUUGAGACCAGGAGUUUGAGGCUAUAGUGAGCUAUGAUUGUGCCUCUACACUGUAGCCUGGGCAACAGAGUGAGACCGUCUCCAAAAUAAAUAAAUAAACAAAUAAAUAUAGUUUUCCCUGUAUCUUUGGGUCUGCAUUCUGAAGUCUCCCAUGUCAUAUAAAAGUAUGAUUAAAUAAAUAUGUUAUGCUGUUCAAUUGUUAACCUGUCGUUUGUUACAGGAAUGUUGGCUGUGACCCUCAUGAUGUAGAGGAAAGUGAUUACCAACUUUCUGUCCCUGCAAAUGUCACAGACUCUACACACCACACUCUUACUCUUUCUUCCCUCCCUUUCCAGAGUAAUCAGCAAAUGCCUUUCCUUUCUCCUGCUGAUGUUUUGCCCGUACUCAGACCCCUUGACUUCUUAGCUUCUACCCAAAGUGAGCUUGUCAUCAAAGUUCUCCAAAAAUCUGCAGUGUUCUCUUGAGCAAAUCUGGUGAGUAUAAUUUCCUCAUCUCAUAAACUUAGGAUCAAAUGACCAUCUCACAAAAUCCCAGGACAAGAAAAGCCUGGGAAACUAGAUCAAGCUUAGACAGCCAGACUUCUCCCUCCGAUUUUCAAGCCUCCUGAUCCCUCCGGUCCCCUUCUCUUUAUGUGCCUGCUCCAUUCUGCUUUCCUUGAAGCUGAGCUUUCUGAGGCUACUUAUACAUGUUGUGAUAAUAGCCAUCCCAAUUCAGCUCAUGUGCCUACCAUCAAAUCCAUCAAAUGAUUGCAGUCAUUGUGCUGUAUUUAACUUUUUUUUUUUUUUUUUUUUUUUGAGAUGGAGUGUCACUCUUGUCACCCAGGCUGGAGUGUAAUGGUGUGAUCUUGGCUGACUGCAACCUCCACCUCCUGGGUUCAAGCGAUUCUCUUGCCUCAGCCUCCUGAGUAGCGGGGAUUACAGGCACCCACCACCACGCCCAGCUAAUUUUUGAAUUUUUAGUAGAGACGGGGUUUCACCAUGUUGGCCAGGCUGGACUCGAACUCCUGACCUCAGGUGAUCCACCUGCCUCGGCCUACCAAAGUACUGGGAUUACAGGUGUGAGCCACCAUGCCUGGCCUCAUAGUUUAAUUCCUUGAGCAAUAAAGAGAGGGAGCAUCUAACUGGUAGCCUUGGGUCAGAUCUAAUCAGCUGUUGCCCAGGGGUAAUGAAAUGAGAUGAAAGUCGGUUAUGGCCCACUCUUACAGGAUCUGUGGUCCAGGUAGGUACAGAAGUUUAUCUAAUCAAAGUAGCUAGCCUAUUUAUUCUCAGUGGUUGUUGGAGGAUUUCAGGGCACUGAUAUCCCAAUUUCUUGUUCUAGUUCUCAACGAACUGGGAAAUAAAGUAAAAGAAUAAGGUAAUAAGAGGCCGGGCAUGGUGACUCACACCUGUAAUCCCAGCACUUUGGGAGGCCGAGGCAGGCAGAUCGCCUGAGGUCAGGAGUUCGAGACCAGCCUGGCCAACAUAGCAAAACCCCAUCUUUACUAAAAAUACAAAAAUUAGCCAGGCGUGGUGGCAGGCACCUGUGAUCCCAGCUAUUCAGGAGACUGAGGGAGGAGAAUCGCUUGAACCCGGGAGGUGGAGGUUGCAGUGAGCCGAGAUCAUCCACUGCACUCCAGCUUGGGUAACAGAGCAAGACUGUCUCAAAAAAAAAAAAAAAAACAAGGUAAUAAGAGAUCAAAACCACAGUAUUACUGAUAAAAUUCACAUUGGCAAAUGUGGCUUUAUCAUUUAGCAAAUGGGUCCCUUGAUUCUGAACACCAGAAUUAGGGAGACUAACCCACCCACUCACAGAUGGUAUACAAAAAUUAUAGCUUCCCCCUUGAUUUAUAUAGAGGAAUCAAUAUUGACCAUGAGUUUAUUAUUGUUAAAGUGGGUAAUGGGUACGUGAAUCUUUAUACUAUUAUCUCUCCUAUUUAAGUACUCUGCAUUUAAUAACUUUUUGGAGUAAAUCUAAUCGUGCAGUUAUAUCUUCCCCCAACGCUCUGAGAGAGAGAUAUCAGAAACAUUCUCUUCUUUUUGCAAAGUGUAGAAAUUUGCAAUGAUGCCACCUCAGUCAUUAGGCCUUAUUGAAGGGAUUUUUUAAUUUCCAUCCAGCCUGCUCAAAUUUUCCUAUACAGUUCAAUACACUGAUUGAGGCCAGGCGCGGUGGCUCACACCUGUAAUCCCAGCACUUCGGGAGGCCAGACGGGUGGAUCACGAGGUCAGGAGAUCGAGAACAUCCUGGCUAACAUGGUGAAACCCCAUCUCUACUAAAAAUACAAAAAAUUAUCCGGGUGUGGUGGUGGGCACCUGUAGUCCCAGCUACUCGGGAGGCUGAGGCAGGAGAAUGGCGAGAACCCGGGAGGCAGAGCUUGCAGUGAGCCGAGAUCGAGCCACUGCACUCCAGCCUGGGCGACAGAGCAAGACUCCAUCUCCCAAAAAAAAAAAAAAAAUACACUGAUUGAGCCCCAAGCUCUGGCAUCCCAGUGUACCCCAAGUGCAUGCCUGUUGUGUUGCAGCUUCCAAGACUAUAGCGCUCUGAUGCAUUGAGAUGACAGCAAGCGGCAUUUUUCAGUCCUGUUACCCAUAUGGCUGCUACCACUGCAUCCUGUUAAAUAAUGUCUUCAACCCAAGAAACCUGCUUCCUAGGGAAGUUUCUCUCUCUCUGCAUUUGUUCCCACUAGAGAAUGACCAUCACCAGAUUCCUGAACUGAAAAUGCUGUUGACACUUUGGAAACUCGGGCCUCUAUUAAUAGGGUGACCAACUAUCCUGGUUUACCUUGAGUACAGGAUUUUCAAUGCUAAAACCAGAAAAACCAGGAUGGUUGGUCAUCUGCCUCAGACCUAAUAAAUACCAGUCAAUAAUUCAGCCAUGAGCUUUCUUAAGACACUGUCUUUUCUUGACUGUUGAAUAGUCUAGGACUUGAGUAGCAGCUCUUUCUGCUACUGGACACUUGUUUUACUACCCUAUUUCUCUAGAUUUUAUUUUGUGGCUAAUAAUUAAGACAUAAAAUCAUGGGUUCUGGUUAUGCCAAAGCACUCACUCUUCAAAAGUUUCCAUCCAGAGUUGGAUAAUCCCACACAGAAGGUGUUCUUUCAACAGACCAGCAUCCAAUAGACCCAAUGCAGCAUUUUUCUUCCUGGUUCCACAUUAAUACAUCCUAUCUCUGCUAUGCUUAGGUCCCUGAUUUAUAAAUAUUUCAGACAUAUUUUCUCAGGACACAGGGAGUACUUAAACUUCCACAUAGCAGAGAUACGACAUACAAUAAGCUGUUAUCUGGAAACUCCUAGUGAUGCUUUGAGUACUUUACAGUAAUCUUUCUGGUCUUCCUCUCAACCCCAUUAAGUUUUUCUGUAACUAGCUGGUGUAUCUGUCUCCAUCUUUAAGGAAUAAGUCCCUAUUUGCUCAUGCUAUAAUCUCCCUCAUGCUCUCCGUCCCUCCUUCCCUCUCCUUCUCUCUUUCUGUCUCUCUCUCUCUCCACCCUGAUUGUGAGAUGCUACACCUUAAUAGUUUUCUAUACCUAGAUCCCUUUUGAAGGAGUAAUUUCAGCCAUCACUGAAAUCUAUGCUUUUUUAUCUUGUUAGAUUUAUUUAGGACCUAAUGACUGUUUCUGAGCUAAUAAUAACGCAAUCAGCUCAUAUUUUUCUGAUACUCUAAGAGCAAUUACAUCUAGUUGCAUCACCUUUUCCUUUUUUAUUCAUGUAUCUUAGGCUUCUCAAGAUAUGAGACUAGCACUUGAGCCUGAGAUAAGCCUUAAGAAUUCCAGGAUAGUCUCUCCAUAGUUCCCUUUCUUGGAUAAAGUCAUUUCAAAACAUCUUAGUGGAUCAGAUUUGGAGCAGCCUACUUACACUGGUGAAUACCACAACUAAUAAAUAAUUGUUCUGCACCCCACCCACAUCUAAAGGAUUCAGGGUGUCUUUUACAGAUAUAGGACUCUCCUUUCUCUGUUUCUCUUCUCUCUCUUCUCCUUGAUUAAAGCUUUGCUUCAGCUGUCCCUGCUCACUACGGCACUGCACCUCACCAGCAUCUUCAUGGCCCUCACAUGGCUCAUGUGCAUAUCCUAACUCUGAUACUAAGGGAGGAGACCACCCCUCAUAUUGUCUUAUGCCCAAUUUCUGCCUCCAAAGAAAGAAGAAGUAAAAACUAAAAGGCAGAAAUGAAAUCCACAAGCAGACAGCCCGGCGCCACACCCUGGGCCUGGUAGUUAAAGAUCGACCCCUGACCUAAUCGGUUAUUUGCAUAAGAAAAGCACUGUGAAGAUCCCUGUCCUGUUCUGUUCCAUUCUAAUUACCGGUGUAUGCAGCCCCCAGUCAUGUACCCCUGCUUGCUCAAUCGAUCACGACCCUCUCACGUGGACCCCCUUAGAGUUGUGGGCCCUUAAAAGGGACAGGAAUUGCUCACUCGGGGAGCUUGGUUGUUGGAGAUGUGAGUCUUGCUAAAGCUCCCAGCCGAAUAAAGCCCUUCCUUCUUAACUCGGUGUCUGAGAGGUUUAGUCUGCAGCUUGUCCUGCUCUAAUACCUGUGUAGUUCAAGAAUAAUCUACAGCACAUUACACCCAAGGCUCUCACUUUGGCUAUAGUUGUGUCUUUACUGAGCCAUCCCCCAACCCCGCCCACAGUGGCAUCUGGCUAAGGCCUACCCUUUUGAAUAUUAA
RNAcentral lists this long non-coding RNA (13172 nucleotides) under Homo sapiens (human). RNAcentral's name for it is "long non-coding RNA NONHSAT158780.1". The record is from RNAcentral. Lineage: Eukaryota; Metazoa; Chordata; Mammalia; Primates; Hominidae.